RNAcentral lists this ribosomal RNA (642 nucleotides) under Triticum aestivum (bread wheat). Its description in RNAcentral is "partial small subunit ribosomal RNA". The record is from RNAcentral. Lineage: Eukaryota; Viridiplantae; Streptophyta; Magnoliopsida; Poales; Poaceae.
AUGGUUACACUUGGUGGAGAUAUGGCGAUUCUUCGUGAUGUUUGGAUGCCAAGCAGCCAAUGCUAUUUCACAGGGCCACUUUGGCCGUCUUUUGAGGCGGAAAAUUUUGAGCUAAAGCCUGGUCUUAUUGCUUUGGUUCAACAACAUCAGUUUGGAGGGUUGCCUACUGAAGACCCUUAUGAGCACUUGCUCCGAGUCAUGGAGUAUUCAGAGACAGUAAAGUACCUUGGAGUACCUGAAGAUGCUAUCAAGUGCAUGCUGUUCACAUUCUCUCUCCGAGAUGAUGCUCGUGCUUGGUAUCGAUCCUUGCCAUCAAGAUCAUUCGGUUGGAACGAGCGUGAAGGCGAGAGCUUGUAUGAUGCUUGGGAGAGAUACAAAGCCUUAUUCAGGAGAUGUCCUAAUCAUGGGCUCGAGAGAUGGUUAGAGCUGCAGAUAUUCUAUAGAGGAUUGACUUCGGACACUCGAGCUUACGUCGAUAUGGCAGCGGGUGGAGCUAUUACAAACAAGACACUUGAUGAAGCUUUUCUGUUGAUUGAGAGCAUAGCUUUCCACCAACUUCAGUGGUACAAUAAGAAGCCCACGUCCGAUUCAUUGGUUUGCUUGCAACAAAUCACUACACCUCAGCCACCAAUUCUUACAUAG